Molecule: ribosomal RNA, 265 nt
Filed under: uncultured Oscillospiraceae bacterium
Lineage: Bacteria; Bacillati; Bacillota; Clostridia; Eubacteriales; Oscillospiraceae
Description: partial 16S ribosomal RNA
Rfam family: Bacterial small subunit ribosomal RNA
Source: RNAcentral
UUUACUAAUGAAGCGGUUAGUGGCGGACUGGUGAGUAACACGUAAGCAACCUGCCUAUUAGAGGGGAACAACAGUUAGAAAUGACUGCUAAUACCGCAUAUGCCAUAAGUAUCGCAUGAUACAAGUGGGAAAGGAGCAAUCCGCUAAUAGAUGGGCUUGCGUCUGAUUAGAUAGUUGGUGGGGUAACGGCCUACCAAGUCGACGAUCAGUAGCCGAGUUGAGAGACUCUACGGCCACAUUGGGACUGAGAUACGGCCCAGACUCC